GGGAAUAUUGGACAAUGGGCGCAAGCCUGAUCCAGCCAUGCCGCGUGAGUGAUGAAGGCCUUAGGGUUGUAAAGCUCUUUUACUCGGGAAGAUAGUGACGGUACCGAGGGAAUAAGCCCCGGCUAACUUCGUGCCAGCAGCCGCGGUAAUACGAAGGGGGCUAGCGUUGUUCGGAUUUACUGGGCGUAAAGCGCACGUAGGCGGAUCUUUAAGUCAGGGGUGAAAUCCCGAGGCUCAACCUCGGAACUGCCUUUGAUACUGGGGAUCUUGAGUCCGGAAGAGGUGAGUGGAACUGCGAGUGUAGAGGUGAAAUUCGUAGAUAUUCGCAAGAACACCAGUGGCGAAGGCGGCUCACUGGUCCGGAACUGACGCUGAGGUGCGAAAGCGUGGGGAGCAAACA
Molecule: ribosomal RNA, 400 nt
Filed under: uncultured bacterium
Lineage: Bacteria
Description: bacterial SSU rRNA
Rfam family: Bacterial small subunit ribosomal RNA
Source: RNAcentral